GUCGUCAGCUCGUGUCGUGAGAUGUUCGGUUAAGUCCGCUAACGAGCGCAACCCUCGUCGUAUGUUAUAUGUGUCAUACGAGACUGCCGGUAAAAAGCCGGAGGAAGGUGAGGAUGAUGUCAAGUCAGCAUGACCUUUAUAUCCAGGGCUACACACACGCUACAAUGGUCUGUACAAUGGGUAGCCAAGCCGCGAGGCGGAGCCAAUCCUGAAAGCAGGCCUCAGUUCAGAUUGCAGUCUGCAACUCGACUGCAUGAAGCCGGAGUUGCUAGUAACCGCAGGUCAGCAAUACUGCGGUGAAUACGUUCCCGGGUCUU
Molecule: ribosomal RNA, 317 nt
Filed under: uncultured Anaerolineaceae bacterium
Lineage: Bacteria; Bacillati; Chloroflexota; Anaerolineae; Anaerolineales; Anaerolineaceae
Description: bacterial SSU rRNA
Rfam family: Bacterial small subunit ribosomal RNA
Source: RNAcentral